Molecule: ribosomal RNA, 711 nt
Filed under: uncultured bacterium
Lineage: Bacteria
Description: bacterial SSU rRNA
Rfam family: Bacterial small subunit ribosomal RNA
Source: RNAcentral
UGGAUAAGCCAUGCAAGUCAAGCGGGUAUUUUAAUACCACCGGGCAACCGGGGUUAGUAACGCGUGGGUAGUUGCCUUGUACUCGGGGAUAAGCCAUUGAAAGGUGGUCUAAUACCCGAUAGUUCUCGAAAGAGUAAAGCUUCGGCGGUACAAGAGACGCCUGCGUCCUAUCAGCUUGUUGGUGGAGUAAUAGCCCACCAAGGCGAUGACGGGUAGGGGGUGUGAGAGCAUGAACCUCAACACUGGGACUGAGACACUGCCCAGACACCUACGGGUGGCUGCAGUCGAGAAUCUUCCACAAUGGACGAAAGUCUGAUGGAGCGACGCCGCGUGCAGGAUGAAGGCAUUCGUGUUGUAAACUGCUUUUAUAGGGGAAGAACUUUUGUGACUGUACCCUAUGAAUAAGGGGCCGCUAAUCACGUGCCAGCAGCGGCGGUAAUACGUGAGCCCCAAGCGUUGUCCGGAAUUACUGGGCGUAAAGCGUCCGUAGGCGGUUAUAUUAGUCGUGUGUUAAAUAUACGGGCUUAACCCGUAUGCCGCGCGCGAAACGGUAUAACUAGAGGUUGUGAGAGGCGAGUAGAACUCACGGUGUAGGGGUGGAAUCCGUUGAUAUCGUGGGGAAUACCAAAGGCGAAGGCAGCUCGCUGGCGCAAUCCUGACGCUCAGGGCCGAAAGCGUGGGUAGCGAAUGGGAUUAGAUACCCUGGUAGUC